This 223-nucleotide long non-coding RNA is filed under the name Elaeis guineensis (African oil palm). Its description in RNAcentral is "long non-coding RNA (EGUI_LNC066171)". Lineage: Eukaryota; Viridiplantae; Streptophyta; Magnoliopsida; Arecales; Arecaceae. The record is from RNAcentral.
GUUAGAUAGAGUGCAUCAUGCACCUCUGAGAAUUGAUUUUGUCAUUAAGAAUGACAAUAUGAUCAACAUCAUUCAAGAUGAUGAUCUAUUGACCUAUUCAGAAGUUGUCAUGAGUAGAGACUCAGACAGAUGGUUGAAAGCCAUGAAAUAUGAGAUGGACUCGAUGUAUAUCAACUAAGUGCGGACUUUGGUUGAUGCACCUAAGGGUGUGAUCCCAAUAGGG